This 685-nucleotide ribosomal RNA is filed under the name Pseudomonas sp. E6F3. Its description in RNAcentral is "bacterial SSU rRNA". It matches the Rfam family "Bacterial small subunit ribosomal RNA", at positions 132 to 810 of the family's 1533-position model. The record is from RNAcentral. Lineage: Bacteria; Pseudomonadati; Pseudomonadota; Gammaproteobacteria; Pseudomonadales; Pseudomonadaceae.
GGGGGUACGGGGGGAUAACGUUCGGAAACGGACGCUAAUACCGCAUACGUCCUACGGGAGAAAGCAGGGGACCUUCGGGCCUUGCGCUAUCAGAUGAGCCUAGGUCGGAUUAGCUAGUUGGUGAGGUAAUGGCUCACCAAGGCGACGAUCCGUAACUGGUCUGAGAGGAUGAUCAGUCACACUGGAACUGAGACACGGUCCAGACUCCUACGGGAGGCAGCAGUGGGGAAUAUUGGACAAUGGGCGAAAGCCUGAUCCAGCCAUGCCGCGUGUGUGAAGAAGGUCUUCGGAUUGUAAAGCACUUUAAGUUGGGAGGAAGGGCAGUUACCUAAUACGUGAUUGUUUUGACGUUACCGACAGAAUAAGCACCGGCUAACUCUGUGCCAGCAGCCGCGGUAAUACAGAGGGUGCAAGCGUUAAUCGGAAUUACUGGGCGUAAAGCGCGCGUAGGUGGUUUGUUAAGUUGGAUGUGAAAUCCCCGGGCUCAACCUGGGAACUGCAUUCAAAACUGACUGACUAGAGUGUGGUAGAGGGUGGUGGAAUUUCCUGUGUAGCGGUGAAAUGCGUAGAUAUAGGAAGGAACACCAGUGGCGAAGGCGACCACCUGGACCAACACUGACACUGAGGUGCGAAAGCGUGGGGAGCAACAGGAUUAGAUACCCUGGUAGUCCACGCCGUAAACGAU